ACUCAAAGGAAUAGACGGGGGCUCACACAAGCGGUGGAGCAUGUGGCUUAAUUCGAGGCUACGCGAAGAACCUUAUCCUGGGCUUGACAUGUCCGAAAGGGAUAGGAAGUAGGGGACGGAAACGCACCCCCAACGGUAUCCAAUCCGGAACCUAUCACAGGUGCUGCAUGGCUGUCGUCAGCUCGUGUCGUGAGAUGUCGGGUUAAGUCCCAUAACGAGCGAAACCCUUGUCUCCAGUUGCCAGCGAGUCAUGUCGGGGACUCUGGAGAGACUGCCGGUGUUAAACCGGAGGAAGGCGGGGAUGACGUCAAGUCCUCAUGGCCUUUAUGCCCAGGGCUGCACACGUGCUACAAUGCCGCAUACAAAGGGACGCCAACGCGCAAGCGGGAGCAAAUCCCAAAAAAUGCGGCUCAGUUCAGAUUGCAGGCUGCAACUCGCCUGCAUGAAGUUGGAAUCGCUAGUAAUCGCGGGUCAGCAACACCGCGGUGAAUGUGUUCCUGAGCCUUGCACACACCGCCCGU
RNAcentral lists this ribosomal RNA (521 nucleotides) under uncultured bacterium. RNAcentral describes it as "partial 16S ribosomal RNA". It matches the Rfam family "Bacterial small subunit ribosomal RNA", at positions 899 to 1397 of the family's 1533-position model. The record is from RNAcentral.